Molecule: ribosomal RNA, 254 nt
Filed under: uncultured bacterium
Lineage: Bacteria
Description: partial 16S ribosomal RNA
Rfam family: Bacterial small subunit ribosomal RNA
Source: RNAcentral
UACGGAGGGGGCAAGCGUUGUUCGGAAUUACUGGGCGUAAAGGGCGCGCAGGCGGCUGCUCAAGUCAGGCGUGAAAGGCCUGGGCUCAACCCGGGAAUUGCGCUUGAGACUGGGCUGGCUUGAGUGCGGGAGAGGAUGGUGGAAUUCCCAGUGUAGAGGUGAAAUGCGCAGAUAUCAGGAGGAACACCGGUGGCGAAGGCGGGUCUCUGGGCCGUAACUGACGCUGAGGAGCGAAAGCAUGGGGAGCGAACAGG